GAGGAAUAUUGCGCAAUGGGGGAAGCCCUGACGCAGCGACGCCGCGUGAGUGAGGAAGGCCUUCGGGUCGUAAAGCUCUGUCAAGAGGGAAGAAGUGCAUAGCGGUUAAUACCCGUUAUGUUUGACGGUACCUCUAAAGGAAGCACCGGCUAACUCCGUGCCAGCAGCCGCGGUAAUACGGAGGGUGCAAGCGUUGUUCGGAAUUACUGGGCGUAAAGGGCGCGCAGGCGGCCUGUCAAGUCAGAUGUGAAAGCCCACGGCUUAACCGUGGAAGUGCAUUUGAAACUGACGGGCUUGAGUACCAGAGGGGAAGGUGGAAUUCCCGGUGUAGAGGUGAAAUUCGUAGAUAUCGGGAGGAAUACCGGUGGCGAAGGCGACUUUCUGGCUGGAUACUGACGCUGAGGCGCGAAAGCGUGGGGAGCAAAC
This 426-nucleotide ribosomal RNA is filed under the name uncultured bacterium. RNAcentral describes it as "bacterial SSU rRNA". It matches the Rfam family "Bacterial small subunit ribosomal RNA", at positions 356 to 773 of the family's 1533-position model. The record is from RNAcentral.